Molecule: unclassified non-coding RNA, 173 nt
Filed under: soil metagenome
Description: partial internal transcribed spacer 1
Source: RNAcentral
CAAGAAGCCGAAAGGCUACUUAAAACCAUCGCGAACUUAUCCAAGUUGCUUCGGCGGCGCGGCUCCCCUCACGGGGACCGCAGCCCCCGCCUCUCAGGAGGUAAGGGGCAGCCGCCGGAGGUACGAAACUCUGUAUUAUAGUGGUAUCUCUGAGUAUAAACACAAAUAAGUUA